This 227-nucleotide ribosomal RNA is filed under the name uncultured eukaryote. Its description in RNAcentral is "partial small subunit ribosomal RNA". It matches the Rfam family "Eukaryotic small subunit ribosomal RNA", at positions 1208 to 1456 of the family's 1831-position model. The record is from RNAcentral.
GGAAAUCUCACCAGGCCCGGACACUGGAAGGAUUGACAGAUUGAGAGCUCUUUCUCGAUUCGGUGGGGGGUGGUGCAUGGCCGUUCUUAGUUGGUGGAGUGAUUUGUCUGGUUAAUUCCGAUAACGAACGAGACUCUGUCCUGCUAAAUAGUGUCAGCCUCUCUUUUGGGCUGACAAUUCUUCUUAGAGGGACUGGCGGCACCUAGCCGCACGAAAUAGAGCAAUAA